CAAGAUAUUGCACAAUGCUUUAAUAUUACACUUGUUAUUUUUCUCACACUAGUGAGAUUUUGAUAAACAUAGUUGACUUUGGAAGUAACAGAGAAUGUUUUCAUUGGUUAAAUAAUUUCAAUGACCUGUGAGGAACUGAAAGCAAGCUAUUACAUUCAUAUAAAAGAUAAGUACAUAUCCAUAAAUUCACUUGGAUUCAAUGAAAAAUAAUAAACUUCUCGUGUACUUAAUAAAACUUAAAAGGAAACAAAAUUUUAAAUGGUGCAAAAAUAGAAUGUAUUUCUUAAAGUUUUGAAAACACUUAGACCUAAAAGAAUUCUAAGAAUAUCUGGCCACAUUAUAAGCCUCUUAUUUGUAAAAGCUAACACUUGAUAAUUUUAAAACAAAAUCUAGAUUAAAUAAAUAUAGUUCUGCAUUAUUAAAGUAACAAAAUCUGUGAUGGUAAGGUAAAAUUUCCCUAAAUAAUAUAAACAAAAAACAACACCGGAAAGCAAAUGUAUCACGUUAUGGCAUCGAUAAACAUUUCUGUUCAAAUGUGUGGAUCUACAGCAUUUUCUCUAGGUAACACACACAGUUGUUAUCACAUUAGUAUGGAAUAAAUGCUGAAAAAUUAAGAAAUACUAAUGGUUACUAGGCCAAAGUCAAUUCCAAAAAACUCAAUUCUUAUAAACUUUUAUUAUAGUGAUUUUUACUGUAUUACAACACUUUUUUUCUCUUUUUCCUUUGCUUUGUGAUUCAUAUUUUUAGCAGAGGCAUAGCACUGGAGAUAAAGAAGGGGAAAUAUGCUUCAGGUGCCAGUUGCGUUUUUUAACUUCCAUUUUGCACUUUUGCUAUUUUUAGACUUGUUGCUCAUCAGAUUCAUUAACACACCCUACUUUUGCUAUGUUUUUUUCCUUCAUUUCCAGGAAAACUCAACCACAGCAUUAGGAGAAAAGGCAAAAACUUCACAUUGCCUGAUACACCACUUAUUCUUGCUCUGCCACUGAUUUGUAGUAGCUGUGUAUUACUGCAGUAGCGCUGUUGUCUCUAUUAAUGCUUAGAGAUUCCACACCAUGAAUUUUUUUAUGGUCAUCCUAAGAUACAAUGAAUUCUUCACAUUUUGUGAAAAUUAUAGGCAUCUGACAGCUGGUGUAUUUAUCUACCAUCUUCAUCAAACUCGAAUAUUUUAUAAAAUACUUGAGAAAAGAUCUCUACCAAAGAUACCCUCAUGAAACACUCUCUUAUCAAAAAGAAAAGGGUAAAAUUAUGGAUUAGUUCAAUUGUACCUUGAACUAGAAACACUGAUUAUGAUUAUAUUUCAGAAAACAGUUAUAAUUAUUUCAUUAAAAAUGAUUCCCAUUUAGAAUGAUGACUGGAGACUUAUUUACAAGAAAAGAUAGAGAAAUUUUAUGAGCCUAGGAUUGUGCCAGGAUUGCCUGUGAGGGCAGUUUUUUCAAUUGCAUAUGCAUGUUGAGAUGGGACUAUUUAUGAUCUUAUUUCCUUAUUCAUUAGAGAAGGAGAUGACCAGUGUUUUCUGGGGGUUUUUUGGUUAAUUUUGCAUAUUCUCUUAUUUCAAAAUUAAUCUAAUUAAUUUUAUUCAUGUGUCACUCAGAUUGCAUUUGGGUUUAAACAGAGGACUUAAUCAUAGCAUGGACAGAAAAGGCUCACCAUCUAUCUAAAUGACUCUGAUUGCACCAUCAUCCUCAUUGUUCUUGUGGAGUCUCGCUCUGUCGCCCAGGCUGGGGUGGAGUGACGCGAUCUCGGCUCACCGCAAGCUCCGCCUCCCGGGUUCACGCCAUUCUCCUGUCUCAGCCUCCCCAGUAGCUGGGACUACAGGCGUCCACCACCACGCCCGGCUAAUUUUUUGUACUUUUAGUAGAGACGGGUUUCACCGUGUCAGCCAGGAUGGUCUCGAUCUCCUGACCUCGUGAUCUGCCCGCCUCAGCCUCCCUAUAUGUUUUAAAAUAUAAAUUUAUUCUUAUAAAAAUAAAUUUAAACUAGAUUGAGGUAGUAAUUACAACAGUCCAGCACAUUAUGGAUAAUUAAUAUUUAUAUUUAUUUGGCUGGUUUUUCUUUUAUAGUAAACUUUAUGCCUUAAUGAACAUUUAUCAGUAUGACUCACUUCAUUCAGUCAUUGAAUAACUAUUUAUUGAGGCUGUAUACUGUGCUAGGUAGGCAUGGAACUACAUGCAUGAUCAAAAUGAGACAGAUUCCUAACAUCACUGAGAUUAUACACAGCAGGGGAAAGAAAAUAUUCAAACUUCAAAUAGUUUCUUCAUCCAAAAAAUUUAUUAUUAGUACCUCCUUGUCAACAUAUGGUAUAUGUUGUGAGUGCAGAAACU
Molecule: long non-coding RNA, 2321 nt
Filed under: Homo sapiens (human)
Lineage: Eukaryota; Metazoa; Chordata; Mammalia; Primates; Hominidae
Description: PREDICTED lncRNA (TCONS_00226226)
Source: RNAcentral